Molecule: ribosomal RNA, 518 nt
Filed under: uncultured bacterium
Lineage: Bacteria
Description: partial 16S ribosomal RNA
Rfam family: Bacterial small subunit ribosomal RNA
Source: RNAcentral
GACGAACGCUGGCGGCAUGCCUAAUACAUGCAAGUCGAGCGGACUUGAUGGAGAAGCUUGCUUCUUCUGAAGGUUAGCGGCGGACGGGUGAGUAACACGUAGGCAACCUGCCUUUCAGUUUGGGAUAACUUCCGGAAACGGAUGCUAAUACCGAAUACAUCAUCUUCUGGCAUCAGAGGAUGAGGAAAGACGGCGCAAGCUGUCACUGAGAGAUGGGCCUGCGGCGCAUUAGCUAGUUGGUGGGGUAAGGGCUCACCAAGGCGACGAUGCGUAGCCGACCUGAGAGGGUGAACGGCCACACUGGGACUGAGACACGGCCCAGACUCCUACGGGAGGCAGCAGUAGGGAAUCCUCCACAAUGGGCGAAAGCCUGAUGGAGCAAUGCCGCGUGAGUGAUGAAGGUUUUCGGAUCGUAAAGCUCUGUUGCCAGGGAAGAACGUCCAGGUGAGUAACUGCACCUGGAGUGACGGUACCUGAGAAGAAAGCCCCGGCUAACUACGUGCCAGCAGCCGCAGUAA